AUGGCGAUUCAGAAAACAACAUCUGGACUGAAACUGCAUCCAGAAGAAGUCCAGAGAAAUUACUACUAUGACUUGAGCUUUGGUUUCCAGUUCUCAUCCUUGCAGCGCCGCUGCUCGGCGAUCAUCGACUCGAAGACGGCCAGGACACGAUCCAACCCCGUCUCGUCCUCCCCGAGCUCCUUCAUGGCGACGACGAUGCUCUCGAUGGUCGACAUGCACCCGGCCUUGGGCUCAUGCCUCACCUCGCCGUACAGGCUGACCCUAUCUGCUUCCACCUUCACGUGCGGCACGAGCUGCAGCCAUGGGUUCUCGUGGUACAUCCGGUGUGCCUUCGCCCAGGUGCCAUCCAGCACGAUCAGAUGUUUCACCAGUACCUGA
This 378-nucleotide ribosomal RNA is filed under the name Triticum aestivum (bread wheat). Its description in RNAcentral is "partial small subunit ribosomal RNA". Lineage: Eukaryota; Viridiplantae; Streptophyta; Magnoliopsida; Poales; Poaceae. The record is from RNAcentral.